Small nucleolar RNA from Gossypium raimondii (Peruvian cotton), 107 nucleotides. It matches the Rfam family "Plant small nucleolar RNA R71". From Rfam's summary of the family: R71 is a member of the C/D box family of snoRNAs containing the C (UGAUGA) and D (CUGA) box motifs. Multiple nearly identical copies of this snoRNA have been identified in Arabidopsis, and it is thought to function as a 2'-O-ribose methylation guide for 18S ribosomal RNA. The record is from Rfam. NCBI's taxonomy places the organism in Eukaryota, Viridiplantae, Streptophyta, Magnoliopsida, Malvales, Malvaceae.
AACUCAUGAUGAAAGCACCUUCUCAAUAAGUCUUUGUAUCUCUCCCAUGCAUCAUAAAAUUUUUCUAAAUCGAUCUGGGCAAAGGAAGAAAUGUCAUUCAUUAACUU